This 440-nucleotide ribosomal RNA is filed under the name uncultured bacterium. RNAcentral's name for it is "partial 16S ribosomal RNA". It matches the Rfam family "Bacterial small subunit ribosomal RNA", at positions 338 to 795 of the family's 1533-position model. The record is from RNAcentral.
CCUACGGGAGGCAGCAGUAGGGAAUAUUGCUCAAUGGGGGAAACCCUGAAGCAGCAACGCCGCGUGGAGGAUGAAGGUUUUCGGAUUGUAAACUCCUUUUGUUAGAGAAGAUAAUGACGUUAUCUAACGAAUAAGCACCGGGUAACUCCGUGCCAGCAGCCGCGGUAAUACGGAGGGUGCAAGCGUUACUCGGAAUCACUGGGCGUAAAGAGCGCUGAGGCGGGAUAGUAAGUCAGAUGUGAAAUCCUAUGGCUUAACCAUAGAACUGCAUUUGAAACUGUUAGUCUAGAGUAUGGGAGAGGUAGGUGGAAUGCUUGGAGUAGGGGUAAAAUGCGUAGAGAUAAAGAGGAAUACUCAUUGCGAAGGCGACCUGCUAGAACAUAACUGACGCUGAUGCGCGAAAGCGUGGGGAGCAAACAGGAUUAGAUACCCUAGUAGUC